This is a long non-coding RNA of Medicago truncatula (barrel medic), 431 nucleotides long. RefSeq lists it as uncharacterized. NCBI's taxonomy places the organism in Eukaryota, Viridiplantae, Streptophyta, Magnoliopsida, Fabales, Fabaceae. The transcript has 2 exons. The record is from RefSeq and is a predicted model, not a curated record.
CUCUCUUACCCUUCUUCUUGUUAUUUACCUUCACAUUACUUCAUGUGCAUGAGCCACACCACUUCACCAAAUGGGGUGGCUGCAAUCCCUUUUCUCUCCACUGAAGAAAAUAUGGCUCAAGCUAAAUUCAACUCAAAAGAAGAGAAGAGGGCUUUACAUUCUAUAUGAAGAUGUCAAAUCUUGCCCCUAUGAAGAUGUGCACGUCCUCUGGUCCAUACUAGUGGAAUCACAUUCACCUUCUUUGCCAUUGAAAAAAUGAAGGCCAUGGGGACAUUGCAGGAUUGAGAAGAAUCUCACCAUGUACAUACAAAUAAUUAUAAUGUCCAUAGUACAUAGUGUUUUCUUUACUUUUAACUUUUGUAGCUCCAAAGCAUAAUGACUCUAAAAUUUUGUUUUUAAAGCGACUGCUAUAAGCUCUUACUAUUUAUUUA